AGGUACGGCUUCUACUACUGAUGAUAAUCUUAGAUCAACGCAGGUGAUGACUCAAGGUACGGCUUCUAUUACUGAUGAUAAUCUUAGAUCAACGCAGGUGAUGACUCAAGGUACGGCUUCUAUUACUGAUGAUAAUCUUAGAUCAACG
Molecule: long non-coding RNA, 148 nt
Organism: Anneissia japonica
Lineage: Eukaryota; Metazoa; Echinodermata; Crinoidea; Comatulida; Comatulidae
Exons: 3
Source: RefSeq, a predicted model, not a curated record